Molecule: long non-coding RNA, 1185 nt
Organism: Ostrinia nubilalis (European corn borer)
Lineage: Eukaryota; Metazoa; Arthropoda; Insecta; Lepidoptera; Crambidae
Exons: 2
Source: RefSeq, a predicted model, not a curated record
UUAUUAAAAAUCCUGAGAUAUCACUAGAUUUGCUAAAUCCGGCCGGAAUCCUGAGAAGAGUCGAAAAAUCCUGAAAUCUCAGGACAAAUCCUGAGAUAUGGUAACCCUAUAUAUGAUGGAAAAAGGAUUGGCCGACUCCUCGAACAACGCUGGUCUGGACAUUUAGCAGUUACAAAAGUUGUAUACGAUAAUUAUUCAUCGAUUUUGCAGACUUUGAAAGAAAUUAAAAAUGGCAGAUUCAACGGUGAUGACGUCGCCAAGAGUAUAGGUAUUAAAAAAGUCAUGCUUGAUCUGGAAUUCCGAAUAGCCAUGGUUGUGGCCAAAAAAAUCUUAUCCACGCUACAACCUGCAGACGCAGCUUUGCAAGCCCGAAGCGCAGGAUUAAAAGAUGCCAUAACAAUCAUAAAGUGUGUCAAAGAUGAAAUUAUUAAAUUAAGAUCAAAUCAAAUGUAUAAUCAAAUUCUGGAAGAAGCUAAGUCUAACAAGCAAUGACUGCAGCGAAUCUGAAAAUAGGACACAGACCUCGAAGAGGCAAGUAAAAAAACCAAAUCGGAUGGAUGACUAUUUGACGUACACCCCCUGUUCCUCCGCCAGACAAAAUAUAGAUGAGAACGACGAGCCAUUUAAGUCUGAGUAUUUCGAAACGUUGGACAUUUUAAUUGCUGAAUUACAAAGAAGGUUUUCGGACAACGAUGAUUUAAUUAAUUCGAUUGCAAGUCUUGAUGAGUUGGAUGUAGAUAAAAUGGUUCCACUGAAAAAUUUGGGUCUGAAAAUUCCAUCAAGAGAAGAGGCUAGUGUGGUUAAAGCUUACUUGAGUCGUAACGAGGAUAUAAUGGAAAAUACAUUGCAAGUUUUGUACAGGCAACGAGAGGCGUUCAAAGAUACAUAUGAACUUUUUGCGUCUGUGGCGACCAUAGGAUGUAGCACUGCAGUGUGUGAAUCUACGUUUUCAACUUUAACUGCAAUCAAUAGGCCUCAAAGGCUGUCAAUGGGUCACGAGAGAAUGGCUGGUAUGGUAUUUCUGGCCUUUGAAAAAAAAAGAACAAAAUCAGUUGAUCUGAACGAAGUUCUUCGCAUUUUUAAUAACAUGGCGAAUCGUAGAAUUCAGCUGUUUUAAAUGUUUUUUAUUAUUAUGUUAGUUAAUUAUUAUAAUAAGUACGCAAAAACAAUGUGAUCUUAAUGAUA